Molecule: ribosomal RNA, 158 nt
Filed under: Goniopora cf. cellulosa YFK-2014
Lineage: Eukaryota; Metazoa; Cnidaria; Anthozoa; Scleractinia; Poritidae
Description: partial 18S rRNA
Rfam family: Eukaryotic small subunit ribosomal RNA
Source: RNAcentral
ACUACCGAUUGAAUGGUUUAGUGAGGCCUUCUGACUGGCGCCGCUACUUUGGCAACAGAGCGGCGGAUGCCGGGAAGUUGGUCAAACUUGAUCAUUUAGAGGAAGUAAAAGUCGUAACAAGGUUUCCGUAGGUGAACCUGCGGAAGGAUCAUUACCGA